UGAGGAAUAUUGGUCAAUGGACGCAAGUCUGAACCAGCCAAGUAGCGUGCAGGAUGACGGCCCUAUGGGUUGUAAACUGCUUUUAUAUGGGGAUAAAGUGGGGAACGUGUUCCCUUUUGCAGGUACCAUAUGAAUAAGGACCGGCUAAUUCCGUGCCAGCAGCCGCGGUAAUACGGAAGGUUCGGGCGUUAUCCGGAUUUAUUGGGUUUAAAGGGAGCGUAGGCCGUUUGGUAAGCGUGUUGUGAAAGGUAGGAGCUCAACUUCUAGAUUGCAGCGCGAACUGUCAGACUUGAGUGCGCACAACGUAGGCGGAAUUCAUGGUGUAGCGGUGAAAUGCUUAGAUAUCAUGAAGAACUCCGAUUGCGAAGGCAGCUUACGGGAGCGAAACUGAAGCUGAAGCUCGAAGGUGCGGGUAUCGAACAGG
Molecule: ribosomal RNA, 424 nt
Filed under: Verrucomicrobiota bacterium
Lineage: Bacteria; Pseudomonadati; Verrucomicrobiota
Description: Verrucomicrobia bacterium partial 16S ribosomal RNA
Rfam family: Bacterial small subunit ribosomal RNA
Source: RNAcentral